Molecule: ribosomal RNA, 802 nt
Filed under: uncultured bacterium
Lineage: Bacteria
Description: bacterial SSU rRNA
Rfam family: Bacterial small subunit ribosomal RNA
Source: RNAcentral
AGAGUUUGAUCCUGGCUCAGGAUGAACGCUGGCGGCGUGCUUAACACAUGCAAGUCGAACGGGGAACAUUUUAUGGAAACUUCGGUGGAAAUAGCUUGUUCCUAGUGGCGGACGGGUGAGUAACGCGUGGGUAACCUGCCUCACACUGGGGGAUAACAGUCAGAAAUGACUGCUAAUACCGCAUAAGCGCACGGGAUUGCAUGAUCCAGUGUGAAAAACUCCGGUGGUGUGAGAUGGACCCGCGUUGGAUUAGCCAGUUGGCAGGGUAACGGCCUACCAAAGCGACGAUCCAUAGCCGGCCUGAGAGGGUGGACGGCCACAUUGGGACUGAGACACGGCCCAGACUCCUACGGGAGGCAGCAGUGGGGAAUAUUGCACAAUGGGGGAAACCCUGUUGCAGCGACGCCGCGUGAAGGAAGAAGUAUCUCGGUAUGUAAACUUCUAUCAGCAGGGAAGAAAAUGACGGUACCUGACUAAGAAGCCCCGGCUAACUACGUGCCAGCAGCCGCGGUAAUACGUAGGGGGCAAGCGUUAUCCGGAUUUACUGGGUGUAAAAGGAGCGUAGACGGAGCAGCAAGUCUGAUGUGAAAGGUGGGGGCUCAACCCCUGGACUGCAUUGGAAACUGUUGAUCUUGAGUACCGGAGAGGUAAGCGGAAUUCCUAGUGUAGCGGUGAAAUGCGUAGAUAUUAGGAGGAACACCAGUGGCGAAGGCGGCUUACUGGACGGUAACUGACGUUGAGGCUCGAAAGCGUGGGGAGCAAACAGAAUUAGAUACCCUGGUAGUCCACGCCGUAAACGAUG